Molecule: ribosomal RNA, 1529 nt
Filed under: Enterobacter cancerogenus
Lineage: Bacteria; Pseudomonadati; Pseudomonadota; Gammaproteobacteria; Enterobacterales; Enterobacteriaceae
Description: bacterial SSU rRNA
Rfam family: Bacterial small subunit ribosomal RNA
Source: RNAcentral
AGAGUUUGAUCAUGGCUCAGAUUGAACGCUGGCGGCAGGCCUAACACAUGCAAGUCGAGCGGUAGCACAGAGAGCUUGCUCUCGGGUGACGAGCGGCGGACGGGUGAGUAAUGUCUGGGAAACUGCCUGAUGGAGGGGGAUAACUACUGGAAACGGUAGCUAAUACCGCAUAACGUCGCAAGACCAAAGAGGGGGACCUUCGGGCCUCUUGCCAUCAGAUGUGCCCAGAUGGGAUUAGCUAGUAGGUGGGGUAACGGCUCACCUAGGCGACGAUCCCUAGCUGGUCUGAGAGGAUGACCAGCCACACUGGAACUGAGACACGGUCCAGACUCCUACGGGAGGCAGCAGUGGGGAAUAUUGCACAAUGGGCGCAAGCCUGAUGCAGCCAUGCCGCGUGUAUGAAGAAGGCCUUCGGGUUGUAAAGUACUUUCAGCGGGGAGGAAGGCGAUAAGGUUAAUAACCUUGUCGAUUGACGUUACCCGCAGAAGAAGCACCGGCUAACUCCGUGCCAGCAGCCGCGGUAAUACGGAGGGUGCAAGCGUUAAUCGGAAUUACUGGGCGUAAAGCGCACGCAGGCGGUCUGUCAAGUCGGAUGUGAAAUCCCCGGGCUCAACCUGGGAACUGCAUUCGAAACUGGCAGGCUAGAGUCUUGUAGAGGGGGGUAGAAUUCCAGGUGUAGCGGUGAAAUGCGUAGAGAUCUGGAGGAAUACCGGUGGCGAAGGCGGCCCCCUGGACAAAGACUGACGCUCAGGUGCGAAAGCGUGGGGAGCAAACAGGAUUAGAUACCCUGGUAGUCCACGCCGUAAACGAUGUCGACUUGGAGGUUGUGCCCUUGAGGCGUGGCUUCCGGAGCUAACGCGUUAAGUCGACCGCCUGGGGAGUACGGCCGCAAGGUUAAAACUCAAAUGAAUUGACGGGGGCCCGCACAAGCGGUGGAGCAUGUGGUUUAAUUCGAUGCAACGCGAAGAACCUUACCUACUCUUGACAUCCAGAGAACUUUCCAGAGAUGGAUUGGUGCCUUCGGGAACUCUGAGACAGGUGCUGCAUGGCUGUCGUCAGCUCGUGUUGUGAAAUGUUGGGUUAAAGUCCCGCAACGAGCGCAACCCUUAUCCUUUGUUGCCAGCGGUCCGGCCGGGAACUCAAAGGAGACUGCCAGUGAUAAACUGGAGGAAGGUGGGGAUGACGUCAAGUCAUCAUGGCCCUUACGAGUAGGGCUACACACGUGCUACAAUGGCGCAUACAAAGAGAAGCGACCUCGCGAGAGCAAGCGGACCUCAUAAAGUGCGUCGUAGUCCGGAUUGGAGUCUGCAACUCGACUCCAUGAAGUCGGAAUCGCUAGUAAUCGUAGAUCAGAAUGCUACGGUGAAUACGUUCCCGGGCCUUGUACACACCGCCCGUCACACCAUGGGAGUGGGUUGCAAAAGAAGUAGGUAGCUUAACCUUCGGGAGGGCGCUUACCACUUUGUGAUUCAUGACUGGGGUGAAGUCGUAACAAGGUAACCGUAGGGGAACCUGCGGUUGGAUCACCU